ACCAGACUCCUACGGGAGGCAGCAGUGGGGGAUAUUGCACAAUGGGGGGAACCCUGAUGCAGCGACGCCGCGUGGGUGAAGAAGCGCCUCGGCGCGUAAAGCCCUGUCAGCAGGGAAGAAAAUGACGGUACCUGAAGAAGAAGCCCCGGCUAACUACGUGCCAGCAGCCGCGGUAAUACGCAGGGGGCAAGCGUUAUCCGGAUUUACUGGGUGUAAAGGGGGCGCAGGCGGCGAUGCAAGCCAGGAGUGAAAGCCCGGGGCCCAACCCCGGGACUGCUCUUGGAACUGCGUGGCUGGAGUGCAGGAGGGGCAGGCGGAAUUCCUGGUGUAGCGGUGAAAUGCGUAGAUAUCAGGAGGAACACCGGUGGCGAAGGCGGCCUGCUGGACUGCAACUGACGUUGAGGCCCGAAAGCGUGGGGAGCAAACAGGAUUAGAUCCCCCUGUA
RNAcentral lists this ribosomal RNA (445 nucleotides) under uncultured bacterium. RNAcentral describes it as "bacterial SSU rRNA". It matches the Rfam family "Bacterial small subunit ribosomal RNA", at positions 330 to 792 of the family's 1533-position model. The record is from RNAcentral.